UAAGGAAUAUUGGGCAAUGGACGCAAGUCUGACCCAGCCAUGCCGCGUGGAGGAUGAAGGUCCUCUGGAUUGUAAACUUCUUUUCUCUGGGGCGAAAAAGGGAUAUUCUUAUCCCCCUGACAGUACCAGAGGAAUAAGCACCGGCUAACUCCGUGCCAGCAGCCGCGGUAAUACGGAGGGUGCAAGCGUUAUCCGGAUUCACUGGGUUUAAAGGGUGCGUAGGCGGGCAGGUAAGUCAGUGGUGAAAUCUCCGGGCUUAACCCGGAAACUGCCGUUGAUACUAUCUGCCUUGAAUGUCGUGGAGGUAAGCGGAAUAUGUCAUGUAGCGGUGAAAUGCUUAGAUAUGACAUAGAACACCUAUUGCGAAGGCAGCUUGCUACACGAUGAUUGACGCUGAGGCACGAAAGCGUGGGGAUCAAACAGGAUUAGAUACCCUGGUAGUCCACGCCCUAAACGAUGGAUACUCGACAUACGCGAUACACUGUGUGUGUCUGAGCGAAAGCAUUAAGUAUCCCACCUGGGAAGUACGACCGCAAGGUUG
This 541-nucleotide ribosomal RNA is filed under the name uncultured bacterium. RNAcentral's name for it is "bacterial SSU rRNA". It matches the Rfam family "Bacterial small subunit ribosomal RNA", at positions 355 to 896 of the family's 1533-position model. The record is from RNAcentral.